Molecule: ribosomal RNA, 253 nt
Filed under: uncultured bacterium
Lineage: Bacteria
Description: partial 16S ribosomal RNA
Rfam family: Bacterial small subunit ribosomal RNA
Source: RNAcentral
GACAGAGGGUGCAAACGUUGUCCGGAAUUAUUGGGCGUAAAGAGCUCGUAGGCGGUUCGUCGCGUCGGCUGUGAAAACCUGAGGCUCAACCUCAGGCCUGCAGUCGAUACGGGCGGACUUGAGUACUGCAGGGGAGACUGGAAUUCCUGGUGUAGCGGUGAAAUGCGCAGAUAUCAGGAGGAACACCGGUGGCGAAGGCGGGUCUCUGGGCAGUAACUGACGCUGAGGAGCGAAAGCGUGGGGAGCGAACAGG